Molecule: long non-coding RNA, 9211 nt
Filed under: Hordeum vulgare
Lineage: Eukaryota; Viridiplantae; Streptophyta; Magnoliopsida; Poales; Poaceae
Description: long non-coding RNA (HVUL_LNC019117)
Source: RNAcentral
AAGAUGCGGUCCUAUCCUUAUUUUGGCGCGAGGGCCUCGACAGGGAUAGAAAGCAUCUCGUCGUUUUGCAAGAAUGGAUAUAGUUACAAUUACAUGUAUUGAAAAGAUGAGUACAUGGAAUUGGCUAACACUCACCACAAGCUACAUAGUCACAUGAGUAUAAUACAUAAAUCAUCAUGGUGAAGAGCAGGGUCCGACUACGGACGAAAACAAAUGAUAAAAUAACGACGUCCAUCCUUGCUAUCCUAGGCUGUCGUCCUAGAACCAUCCUAGGUCGAUGAUGAAGAAGAAGAAACUCCAAUUUAACAAUCAACACGCUCCCGUCAAGUAUCUCUUUAGUUGUACCUGCAACUAGUGUUGUAGUAAUCUGUGAGCACAGGGGACUGAGCAAUCUUAUUUCCAAAUGUAUCAAGACUAGCAAAGCUUAAUGGGUGAGGUAUGGUUAAGUGUUGAGGUUGCAACAAGCGACUAAGUAUAUAUUUGAGGUGGCUAACUUACGAGUACAAGAAUAAGAGGGGGAUGAACUACGCAUACCGGACGUGAACUACUAAUGAUCAAAUGAAUGAUCCUGAACAACUACUUACGUCAGACAUAACCCCACCGUGUCCUCGAUCGGAGAAGGAGCUCACGAAAGAGACAGUCACGGUUACGCACUCAGUUGGCAUAUUUUAAUUAAGCUUACUUCAACUUUUCUAGAACCGGAUGUUAAACAAAGUUUCCACGUUGCCACAUAACCGCGGGCACGGCUAUCAGGAACAUCGACUAGUAGACCUCCCGAGGAUGCCAAGAAAAUUAAAAAAACAUAUGGAAUAUCAGGCACUAGUCCUCCAAAAAAUUCCAACAAAAUAGGAGUUUUAAUUGGGUGCAUGAAGCGACGCUUCAAAACGUCUUGCAAAACAUGCCACACUUAGGGAGCUAUACGAUGCCACAUAAAGGGCUUAUAUCCAAAUUAAUAACAUGAGUGCCAUAGUCGAGCGUGUGAGGCGACACCACAUAAAAGGCUUAUAAUAACAUGAGUACCAAUGAGGUAGAACCCUCCCAGGGAUUCAUAUAAGAUACAAGCUUAGUCCAUAACGAUACUGAUAAUAAUAAUCAUCCGUCAUUGUUGGAUUUUGGGCUCCGCAAAACCCUAAAGAUUCGAACUCAGGGUCGUGUACGAAUAUCUCUCGCGGGCUCGCCUCACCUAACUUGCAACUCAUUGGGGAUGGCUGAGAACUCACUCGAUGGUGAGGGAGACACAGAAUACGGCAGUUUACCCAGGUUCGGGCCGCUGAGAAGCGUAAUACCCUACUCCUGCUUUGGUGGAUUUCCUCUUGUGGAGGUUGGCGUAUGAACUAGUACAGUGUUCUUGGCCUCCGGUGGCUGGGUGGCCUUUGUGUGGUGCGAGUGGGCGAAUGAAUGGAUGGACCGAUCGGGUCCCUCUCUACGAAGUAACCUGUCGUCUAUAUAUAUAGCGGCGGUCCGGGUCCUCUUCCCUUAUGGAAAGGGCGGGUGGGGAUCACACAACGACCAAUUUUGAGGGGGAACAGGGGAAGAUGCUCCCCCUGUUCAAAGGUGGUCUUCGCCUGCAAAGUGGUUGCCAGCACUGCGGGGACAGGUCCAGGGAUGACGUCUUCCCUGCUGGCGGGCGGCGAUGGCCUUGUUGCACCAAGGGAAACCUUUGGAAGAUGCAUUGGGAACACGCGUACGUCCUUCCCUCCUUUGAACGAAAGGGGAAAAAGCACCAUCCUACAAUCCGUUGCUCGCCUGUCCUUUCCCCGCGCCAUCCUUGACUCCUGAGGCCGGGUCUCGCCUUGAAAUAUCCGCCCUCUAGAAGGGUCCUGAGGAGGCCCCCUGCGGGGGUUGGUGCUGCUCCUCCUUGCAAGGCUUGGGCCCUCGUGAGGGCCUUGCCAUGAGUGGUGUCGUGCCUGGUUGUGCUUGCUCGAUGAAGUGAGGUAUGGUUAAGUGUUCAGGUUGCAACAAGCGACUAAGCAUAUAUUUGAGGUGGCUAACUUACGAGUACAAGUAUAAGAGGGGGAUGAACUACGCAUAGCGGACGUGAACUACUGAUGAUCAAAUGAAUGAUCCUGAACAACUACUUACGUCAGACAUAACCCCACCGUGUCCUCGAUUGGAGAAGGAGCUCACGGAAGAGACAGUCACGGUUAUGCACUCAGUUGGCAUACUUUAAUAAAGCUUACUUCAACUUUUCUCGAACCGGAUGUUAACGAAAGUUUCCACGUUGCCACAUAACCGCAGGCACGACUUUUCGAAAGAUUUAACCCUACAAGGGUUCUCCAACUAGUCCAUCACAAAUUACACCAAGCCACAUAGAAAUCAUCGAUCACGAAACUCGCGAUCUCGUCGGACUCCUUAGUGGAGAACCUCAACUCUGAGAUUACCCAAAGUUUCACCUGAAUCCCGAUGCACAAGAUAUUUCGUCAAAGGUAAAACUUAUCCAGCAAGUCCGCCAACGUGUCGACGAUCCUGAUAGGAGCCGUGUAUCUCAUUCUCAGGACACGAUGGAUGAGCUAGACAUCGGGUUGGCUAAACCCUGGGUUACCAGGGGGCGCCGAACAUCGCUCGGGUUGGACCAACACUCAUGCGGAGCACUGUCCCGGGGGUUUAUUAAAUUUCCUCGGGUUAAUUACUCCCUAUGUGGUUCAUUAGUUAUUAGGAAAAUGUAGUAUAAAAGUUGGGCCUUGCCAAACCACUCUUAAUCUAAAACGAAUUAUCAAGGGGGUCCACAUAACAACCCCGGUCGUGUUAGGAGCGCCCAAUUAUCGAAUAUAACACCGGUAGCCGAAACUAAGGCAACAAAGGUGGAACAAAGCACCAGGCUAGAAAGGUCGAGCCUUCCACAUUUUACCAAAUAUAUAGGCGCAUUAAAUUAAAUAGAAAUUAAUAGGGUGAUAUAACAAGGAACCCAUGUUAUCACAUGGAAGCAACUACACCUACAAAUAGCAACGCUAACACAUGGUUAAACAAGCGGUAACAUAGCCAAUCACUGGUUUGCUAGGUUGUGAUCAGGUUGAAGAUUUUCAUGGCAAUGUUGAGAGGCUGACAUUUAACACGUGGUGGGUAACGAGACAUAACGAAAGAAAUGAGACAACUAGCAUGGCAUUGAUAGUAAUGGUAUCUAGGGAAAUGAUCAUCUUGCUUGAGAUCCCGCUGAGAAGAAGAACGACUCCGUGAAGCAGACGAACCGACGUAGUCGAAUGGGUCCUCACAUUCCGACACGCUUGCGGAACUCUAUUGAGACGAAGCAAACCGGAAAAAAGAAUCAACACACGAUAUUCACCACACGAUGCACAACACAUAUGAUGCAUGAACGUUAUCAAUUAUGCACGGUAUGACAUGGCAAUUCACACAAUCAAACACUACACAGUAAGUGAAGUUCAAUAUGCAACGAGAUUUAUAUCGACGAAAAUCCACAUUUAAUUAUAUAGCGACGACCCGGGUCCUCUUCCCAUCACGCAAGGGCGGGAGGGGAUCCCACAACGGCCAAUUUUGAGGGGAACAGCGGAACAUGAUCCCCCUGUCCAAAGGUGGUCUUCGCCUGCAAAGUGGUUGCCAGCGCUACGGGGGCGGGUCUAGGGAUGACGUCUGCCCUACUGGCGGGCGGCGAUGGCAAUGUUGCAUCAGAAGGGAAACCUUUGGAAGAUGCCUUGGGAACCCGCGUACGUCCUUACAUCUUUUGCACGAAAGGGGAAACUGCACCAUCUUCCAAUCCGUUGCUCGCUUGUCCUUCCCCGCGUCAUACUUGACUCCUGAGGUCGGGUCUCGCGUCGAAAUAUCCGCCGCUCUGGAGGGGUCCUCGGGAGGCCCCCUACGGGUCUUGGUGCUGCUCCUCCUCGCUAGGUUCGGGCCCUCACGAGGGCCUUGCCCUGAGUGGUGUCGUGCCUGGUUGUGCUUGCUCGGUGAAGUUGGCCAGCCCUGGGCCACAGGCAGGCAGGUCUCGGUACCCCCAUUCCCAGAACGCCGACAAUCAUGAUUCAUGAUCAAUAUGCUGGUUUUCUUUAUUCCUCGAAAGAACGAAACUAAGACCGACACUUAACCAUUCCUAGAUAAUAGUCCUUAACCACGAACACUGCUAUUCGAAUUAAUUUUAUGCGCUACACAAGCUGUACUCUUUACCCACAAGUAAAGAAUUUCUUUAGUCAACCCGAGAUGUUGACUAAUUAUAAUUACGGUAUUUGAGUUGAAAACACACCUGACCCGCACACACCAGCUUAACUUCCCGAUGCCUGGAAUCACCCAAGAAAACCAUGAAGUAAAACUCUAAGUGGGGAGACUACAAUCACGAUUAGCAUGGGGUUUACCGGAGCAAGACUCGAACUACGGUCGAAUCAGUAGGUUUUAAAUUUUCCCUGGAAUGGUUAGUACAACAUAUUUACUCUGUAGUACCCAACACGGGCACCACCUAUCAUGCCCCAACAUGACUUCACUAAUCAUCCAUGUCACAACGUGAUAUCAGUUCCACGGUCACGUCUACCCAAGACAAAAACUUAUAUACCAUGCAAAAAAGUUGAGGGUUUUAAAAAAAUUCUUCUUUUUUUAUGAAUUUUUUAUAUUACAUACUAAAGUAUCCUACUUGAAAUUAGUUCUUACAUUAGUUAUGCCUAAUUGUUUCUCAAAAAGUAUUGCAAGAGAAUGUUCAAGACUUCACAAGAUAUAUUUGGUGAUUAGUUUGAUUCCUUGGGGAAUCUUGAUGUAUGAGAAGAAUCAAGAAUCGGUCAGAUGGCUAGAUACAUCAUAUUUAGAAAUAGUGUCGGGAAAUGGGCCCAUGACGAUCCAUGGGACCCUGGCGACCCCUUUUAUGGUUUUGGAGGGGGUCUAAGUGCACACACGGAAUCAGUUGGCAAGGUCACACACAAGGAGGUUUAUGCAGGUUUGCGCCGCUCGGAAGCGUAACACCAUACGUCUUGUUGGUGUCGAUUAAUUGGGUGGAAAUAAACAAGGAGCGCGGUGACCCGGCAAGGAUGCUCGAGGGCUCAUCUAUGCGUGUCAUUAAACAGAGUGUCAACCUUUGUAAAGGUAGGCAUGGACCUCCUUUUAUAGCACAAAGGGGUUACCAUAGUGGCUAUAACAGUUAUUUUACUAGGUGUGCAGUAUGCACUGCAACGCUGGGACUGCUUGCAAGAGUGGGUAGUGGGAAAUACCUAACUCUGAAGGACUUGGAUAGGCGCAUUAAAUGCGUCAUGAGGUGGCGCACGAACGGCGUCUCCCGGCAAGGAUUGCCUCUCUCUCUGUGCCGUCCACCGAGCUGCCUCUCUAUUCUGCUGCCAGGCUACAUGAUAGGUGUCACCACGACUGGGACACGCCAGCUAUUAUGGUCGCGUGCCCCAGCCAUCCCUGCCUUCCUGCCUGCCCGUUCGACACCUCGAAUGAUGUAGACAAUCAACCCCUGGUGAGGUGGAGCGGUGGCUUAGUGGGUUGUGGUCUUGUCGGACGGCAUGAGCGGACACGUGUAUAGGCCGGUGGGGGCCUUGCUGCCCGGUCUUGGCCUUGGUCUUUGUUUUUUUUGGGCUCGGGAUGAGCCCGACAAGGAGUUCCUAGCCUCGGGGCCGCUGUUGCCCGUGUCUAAGUUAGGGGAACUAAGGACCCACAUUCCUUAGUACACCGACGCAUAGAAAAACAAGAUUAGAUUAGAACUAUCCAGCAAGCAAGCUAGGAUCCAUCCCGAUGGAUGGAUUCUUGGAAAGAGACACACUCGAAGCUAGCUUACAUGUUCACGAACUACGACUCCAUGAUGCUACCUUCCGGUAUUCAGAAUCCAUUGAAUAGUUGUGCCACUAGAUAGAGAUCCUGAAGUUGGACACCCGUUUCGUGCUCAUGCUCGCGUCUAUGCUUGACGACGAGCCUCAUGGCGCCAGGGUAGCCGCUUCACAUGCAGCCACCCGAUGUCGAGCGCUCCCGGCCCUGCAGUGCCCUGCUCCUAGUCGGAGCAUGGAGCAAGCAUCGUCCACCAGCCAUCAUGGCAUGGAACAAGUGUAUGUCAUGUAUAUGGUUCUACGGGACAUUGGAUUGAUGCUAGCUACAUAUAUGUGUGGAUAUGACGUGGUGAAGAGAUAAGGCUAGAUAUUUUUCUUGGGUGUAGAGUGUGGUUUGAUGGAUUCAUGCCAUGUCAUCUAAGGCUUCAAUCUCUUCAGCCAUAAGAAUUCAGUACACACAUGUGUGCUUUAUUGCCAUUUUAUUUUCGCCCUUACACCAUCAAAAAACUAUGUGAAAACCUUCUCAAAUUUUUACUACAUAAUUACUGAGGUCAUAUCUUGACACCAUGCCAAUUUCUGUAUUUAUUAUACAUCGUUUACAUUUUCUAGAAUUAAAAUACCAAUAAACUUCAUGUUCACGAUUCAUUCUUUCCACAUAGAUAUUCCCUAAAUAUGAUUUUUCAACUCAUUUUUUAUACUAUUUUCUGUACUCGUAGUUCAAAUUUGACUAUAUUUGUUAGAUGACUAGAAAUGCAGUUAAUGACCCAAAUAUAGCAAAUGAUCUACGAAAAGUGCCAAAUUAUAAUAUGGAGGAUUCUAUACUGUAUCUCAACUUUAGAAAAAAAAUUAAGGUCAAGUGACAAAGGAAAAUAUAAGUUUGCCACCAACUUGGUGCAUUCAGUCUCGAAACCAUGAUCAUUCCUCAUAGGUUGUCUGAUUUCUAAAGGAUGUACAUAAAAAAUGUGAAACCUUUUCAAAUUUGUAUCACAUCAUCGUGAGGUCAUAUCAUGACACUAUGCCAAGUUUUGUAUUUUUCUGACUUCAUUUACAAUUUUUAUAACUUAAAACCCAAUAAACUCCAUGCUCGUGAUUAAUUCUUGCCACAUAUAUCUUAUAAAUUUAUUUUCAUUUGUUGUACGAGGCAUACAAAUAUACUCAAUACCCAAAAUAUGGUUUUUCAAAUCAUUUUUGUGUAUACCAUAAAUACUCAUAGUUCAAAUUUCAACCAUUAAAUGACUGGAAAUGCAGUUAAUGACUGAAAUAUAGCAAAUGAGGUGUGAAAAGCGCCAAAUUUGAACUUGGAGGAUUCUAGGGUGCAUAUCAAGUGUAGAAAGAAAAUCAAAAUCAAACGAUGAAGGAAAAUGUUAGUUCGCAUUCAAUCAUAUCGUAAAAACCAUUAUUCUUUCAAAAAAUAAUAAUUUCAGGCAUCACACAUUGUUCCAUUUAUGAAAGUGUGUGAGAUGACAAACUACAUCGCACACAUAAUGUAUGCAAAAAACAUGUGCAAGGCAACACACACAUUUGCAUUUUUAACACUAUGUGUAAUGAUAUGCUACAUCACACACAAUUUCGGCAAAAACUAUGUGCAUAUCACACACGAUUGCAUUAUAAUAGUUGUGUGCAAUGAUAGACUACAUCACACACACAUCAAUUGUAAAAAAACCUAUGCCCUCACACACUUCUACGUUUUGUCGAACCGUGUGCAAUAAUAGGAAACAUCACACACAAGUUCUAUAAAAAUUGUUUGUGCUACAUUGCACAUAAUUAUUAUUUUCUGAAAUGUGUGUGAUGUUAUGACAUCACACACACUUUUUGUGAUGUUACAUUGCACAUGCCACGAUGUACAUCGCAAAUAGUUUCGUCGAAGGGUCUGUGAUACAUGUGUUGUCUUUGGACUAUCCUAUAGUAGUGAGUGUUCAAGAUGCUUCGCUUGAUUAUGCAGAAUGGUGGGGUGCACUCCCAAAAACUUUGUAAUUAUUCUUCCCUCCAGUUUCCUAUUUUAAAUAUAUUGAGUGAAGACAUAAUUCUAAAAUAGUGCAGAAAAGUUGUUUGGUAAAUUUUGAAACAAAUUCUAAAAUAAACUAGAUGGAAUCUGAGGAAUGUUAGCAAAAGAAUCAUGUUAUUUGGAGUUGUGGUUUAAAAACUAGAGCUAGUCAAAAUUGGGUCAAAAUAUGAUUUUAAAUAAAACAUAUCUUCUAUUCUUAAAUAGCUAGAACCCAUUACCCAAUUAUCCUCUCCAUGCAACAAUACCACGUCAUCAAAUCAUGCAUGUAGUCAUAAGUUACUCUUUUCAUUAAUCUCUUCAUGCAAAACAUACACUCAUGCAUGAUUAUUUUUCUAGGUAAUAAAGCAAGACAUUUUUAUAAUGUUUUUACAUUAACGUUUGUUUUCUAACAUUUAUUCAUAUAUUUUAAAUAAGUUUUCCGCAUCAACGCGCGGGACAUCAUCUAUUAAUUGAAAAUGGUUCGAUCAAGGAUACACUUUCUAACAAAGAGAACAUACUAACGCAGAAUACAUAUCCACUUACAUCGACAUGGUGCAUCCUGGGUCGGUGACAGUGGGUCCCACAGACCACCAGUCAUGUUUGACUAGUCCACGCACGCGCCUUGUCCCUCUUGGCAGAACAGGGCAGGGCUCCGGUGAUCCCUGACAUUGAACAACGGUUCCCCACGGGACCCUGGGCCCAUGAAUGGAUCCAUGGGAGCCUGGUGGUCACCAUGGCUGGUGAAGUGGAUGAAGUGGUCGGAGGUGCCUUCUCCGACAGACGGCGGCAUUGGGUAAAAAGGGGCUUUUGUCCUUGGUCAGGUUUAAGUGGAAUUGACAAAUGGAAUGGGGUUGUAGUGGCUCGGGGAGAUGGUUAGCAGCAAAACGAGGUGGGGCGACAUUGGACGCUUCGGAUUUUAUAGAAGAGUAGCAGCGCAGGUGGUCACUAGAGAUGAGGAAGAUAACCACCCGUGGCUCGAUACGCUGCAUUAGAGGGUGUCUAGAGGGAGAAGGAGCGGUCCAUGUGGCUAGGGAGUACUCGGGGUGGCCUUUUUAGAGGACGAAGACAUCGGUUCCACAGUUUCCCAAACGUGGAUGCCAUGGCGAUCGCCAUUGAUGUCGAUUCGAGGUGCUUGGGGAGGUCGAUGGUGGCUGGUGUGUGGACGGUGGAUUAUGUGAGGCCGGUGGCUGACCGAAUUUAAUCCAGGGUAGUCUGGUUGUCUAGGGGCGAAUGGGCGGCGCCGGCCACGGCAAUUUAGGCGGUGGCCAGUGAUGGACAGGUGCGGUGCUCGCGAAGCCGAUGGUGGUCGGGUGGACGGUGACUUCCCUUAGUGAUGGCAGGGCAGGCUGGCUGGCUCGGGGAAAGCUACAUGUCCAGGGCGGCUCCGUCCACGGGCAGAUUCCGGCGGUGGCUCUAAUGGCAAGUUGUAGACGUGGCAGGUCAGUGCGAUGGACGAUGGGGGGGAGGUUGGGGUACUCUAGCAUGACGUGGUGACCCGAGCAGGCCAGGGCGAGCGGCGGAAAUGCAAUCAGUG